GAUGAACGCUAGCGAUAGGCUUAACACAUGCAAGUCGAGUGGCAGCAUGGUCUUAGCUUGCUAAGACUGAUGGCGACCGGCGCACGGGUGCGUAACGCGUAUGCAACUUGCCUCACAGAGGGGGAUAACCCGUCGAAAGACGGACUAAUACCGCGUACACUCUAUUUUGGGCAUCCAAGGUAGAGGAAAUGAAAUUCGCUGUGAGAUAGGCAUGCGUCCCAUUAGCUAGUUGGUGAGGUAACGGCUCACCAAGGCGACGAUGGGUAGGGGAACUGAGAGGUUGAACCCCCACACUGGUACUGGGACACGGACCAGACGCCUACGGGAGGCAGCAGUGAGGAAUAUUAGUAAAUGGGCGAGGGCCUGAACCAGCCAAGUCGCGUGAAGGAUGACUGUCUUAUGGAUUGUAAACUUCUUUUGUAGGGGAAUAAAGAGGGGCACGUGUGCCCCAGUGAAUGUACCCUACGAAUAAGCAUCGGCUAACUCCGUG
Molecule: ribosomal RNA, 490 nt
Filed under: uncultured bacterium
Lineage: Bacteria
Description: partial 16S ribosomal RNA
Rfam family: Bacterial small subunit ribosomal RNA
Source: RNAcentral